CACCUCUAGCAUAACAACUAUUAGAGGCACUGCCUGCCCAGUGACAUCUGUUAAACGGCCGCGGUAUCCUGACCGUGCAAAGGUAGCAUAAUCAUUUGUUCUCUAAAUAAGGACUUGUAUGAAUGGCCACACGAGGGUUUUACUGUCUCUUACUUCCAAUCAGUGAAAUUGACCUUCCCGUGAAGAGGCGGGAAUAUACAAAUAAGACGAGAAGACCCUAUGGAGCUUUAAUUAACUAGCCCAAUAAAUAAAUAACUCACACUUCUAAGGAAAGCAAGAAACCUUUUGAUGGGCUAACAAUUUAGGUUGGGGUGACCUCGGAAUACAAAACAACUUCCGAGAGACAAAAACCUAGACUAACAAGUCAACGAACGCAGUCAUUUAUUGAUCCAAAAAAAAUUGAUCAACGGAACAAGUUACCCUAGGGAUAACAGCGCAAUCCUAUUUGAGAGUCCAUAUCGAUAAUAGGGUUUACGACCUCGAUGUUGGAUCAGGACAUCCCAAUGGUGCAGCCGCUAUUAAUGGUUCGUUUGUUCAACGAUUAAAGUCCU
RNAcentral lists this ribosomal RNA (551 nucleotides) under Pteropus ornatus. Its description in RNAcentral is "partial large subunit ribosomal RNA". It matches the Rfam family "Bacterial large subunit ribosomal RNA", at positions 1816 to 2597 of the family's 2925-position model. Lineage: Eukaryota; Metazoa; Chordata; Mammalia; Chiroptera; Pteropodidae. The record is from RNAcentral.